UGAAAUUCGAUGACGAGAAAGAGUACGUUAAGCGAACGAUCCGCAGAGAGUUGGGGCUGGUGCAAACCAACGUUCGGGCGCUAACGGAAAGCCAUCUCCGAGAAGCAGGCUGAACCUAGAGUAAGCUCUGCCGCAAUUCCGGCGUUACAAGGAACGCGUAUUGAUGGAUACGUGAGCGGAGUGUCGCUUCAUUUGGAAGCGAAACUAGGGUGGUAACACGGGUGCAGACUCGUCCCUUUA
RNAcentral lists this non-coding RNA (240 nucleotides) under Paenibacillus sp. RNAcentral's name for it is "T-box sequence". It matches the Rfam family "T-box leader". Rfam says of the family: Uncharged tRNA acts as the effector for transcription antitermination of genes in the T-box leader family. Lineage: Bacteria; Bacillati; Bacillota; Bacilli; Caryophanales; Paenibacillaceae. The record is from RNAcentral.